RNAcentral lists this transfer RNA (73 nucleotides) under Phycisphaerae bacterium. Its description in RNAcentral is "tRNA-Ala". It matches the Rfam family "tRNA". From Rfam's summary of the family: Transfer RNA (tRNA) molecules are approximately 80 nucleotides in length. The record is from RNAcentral. Lineage: Bacteria; Pseudomonadati; Planctomycetota; Phycisphaerae. RNAcentral also lists the same sequence under 1 other name.
GGGGCGGUAGCUCAAUUGGGAGAGUGCCUCGGUCGCAUCGAGGAGGUUGAGGGUUCGAUCCCCUUCCGCUCCA